This 334-nucleotide unclassified non-coding RNA is filed under the name soil metagenome. Its description in RNAcentral is "partial contains 5.8S ribosomal RNA, internal transcribed spacer 2, and large subunit ribosomal RNA". The stretch from base 1 to 120 matches the Rfam family "5.8S ribosomal RNA", at positions 35 to 154 of the family's 154-position model. The record is from RNAcentral.
GAUGAAGAACGCAGCGAAAUGCGAUACUUGGUGUGAAUUGCAGAAUUCAGUGAAUCAUCGAAUCUUUGAACGCACAUUGCGCCCGCCAGUAUUCUGGCGGGCAUGCCUGUUCGAGCGUCAUUUCAACCAUCAAGCCCUGCUUGCGUUGGGGUCCUGCGGCUGCCCGCAGGCCCUGAAAACCAGUGGCGGGCUCGCUAGUCACACCGAGCGCAGUAAUACAUCUCGCUUUGGGCGUGCGGCGGGUUCUUGCCGUUAAACACCCCCUUUUUACCAAGGUUGACCUCGGAUCAGGUAGGAAUACCCGCUGAACUUAAGCAUAUCAAUAAGCGGAGGA